This 796-nucleotide ribosomal RNA is filed under the name uncultured Methanosarcina sp. RNAcentral's name for it is "bacterial SSU rRNA". It matches the Rfam family "Archaeal small subunit ribosomal RNA", at positions 85 to 879 of the family's 1478-position model. Lineage: Archaea; Methanobacteriati; Methanobacteriota; Methanomicrobia; Methanosarcinales; Methanosarcinaceae. The record is from RNAcentral.
ACGGCUCAGUAACACGUGGAUAACCUGCCCUUGGGACCGGCAUAACCCCGGGAAACUGGGGAUAAUUCCGGAUAACGCAUAUUUGCUGGAAUGCUUUAUGCGUCAAAAGGAUUCGUCUGCCCAAGGAUGGGUCUGCGGCCUAUCAGGUAGUAGUGGGUGUAAUGUACCUACUAGCCAGCGACGGGUACGGGUUGUGAGAGCAAGAGCCCGGAGAUGGAUUCUGAGACAUGAAUCCAGGCCCUACGGGGCGCAGCAGGCGCGAAAACUUUACAAUGCGGGAAACCGUGAUAAGGGGACACCGAGUGCCAGCAUCAUAUGCUGGCUGUCCGGAUGUGUAAAAUACAUCCGUUAGCAAGGGCCGGGCAAGACCGGUGCCAGCCGCCGCGGUAACACCGGCGGCCCGAGUGGUGAUCGUGAUUAUUGGGUCUAAAGGGUCCGUAGCCGGUUUGGUCAGUCCUCCGGGAAAUCUGAUAGCUCAACUAUUAGGCUUUCGGGGGAUACUGCCAGACUUGGAACCGGGAGAGGUAAGAGGUACUACAGGGGUAGGAGUGAAAUCUUGUAAUCCCUGUGGGACCACCUGUGGCGAAGGCGUCUUACCAGAACGGGUUCGACGGUGAGGGACGAAAGCUGGGGGCACGAACCGGAUUAGAUACCCGGGUAGUCCCAGCCGUAAACGAUGCUCGCUAGGUGUCAGGCAUGGCGCGACCGUGUCUGGUGCCGCAGGGAAGCCGUGAAGCGAGCCACCUGGGAAGUACGGCCGCAAGGCUGAAACUUAAAGGAAUUGGCGGGGGAGCAC